AACCAAAGUGUUGAGUCUAGUUCAGGGCUGCUUCCCUGUGCUGGUAAUUAAACUUUGGAACAGUAAGACACGGGCUGGGGGAGAUGAUUGGGUAGAAGGUAUUUCUCUAUAACAUUUCUCUCCCGGCCUACAAAA
RNAcentral lists this small nucleolar RNA (135 nucleotides) under Sorex araneus (European shrew). The record is from RNAcentral. Lineage: Eukaryota; Metazoa; Chordata; Mammalia; Eulipotyphla; Soricidae.